GGCGAUUUCUGGUCUAGGGUGAGAGAUAACAGAAAGUAACAAUGGAGGCUCUCGCAGUGCUCGCAGGCACUCAAGGAACGGAAAGGAAAUUGCACAUUUCACCCGUGACUGCAUAGGCAAACGAGAACAGCAAGUCUCUGCUUUCAGCUGGAAUGUUAUCAACUUCGGUCACGCUGAUUAUCUCAGGCUGAUCAGGAAGGCUGGUACCAGGAGUGAGUGACUAAAUGAAGAAAUUACUAAUUAACAAAUGCUUGGGUGGACAAUCCUUCAAAAUUUAGGAUCAAUGGGAGGAGACAGAAGGAGUCUUGGGAGGAUUUUUAAAAUAUGCCAGAGCUGGCUGGGUACAGUGGCUCACACCUGUAACCUGAGGACUUUGAGGUGGAGACGGGCAGACCACCUGAGCUCAGGAGCUCAAGACCAGCCUGGGCAACAUGGCAAAACCCUGUCUCUACUAACACUAUAAAAAGUUAGCUGGGCGUGUUGGUGCAUGCUGUAGUCCCAGCUACUCAGGAGGCUGAGCCACGAGAAUCGCUUGAACCUGGGAGAUGGAGGUUGAAGUGAGCCAAGAUCGCACCAUUGCACUCCAGCCUGGGGAAAAAAAAAAGCCAGGCCUCCUAAUGUACUCAUUUAAACAUCACUUGUGUCCACCUGGGUUCAGAAUUGCGCUGGACAUGGGAUACACAAAGGUAAGACAUGGACCCACCCUCAAGUCUGAAGGUGGAGGUGGGGAAGGGCAGAGGCUGUAAAGGGUCAGAGGGACCUUGUGGAGUGGUGGAAAUGUUCCAGAUCACACUGUGGCGGUGGUCACAUGACUGUGCACACUUACGACAACCCAUCUAAUUGUAUACUGUCAGUCAAAGGGCAUUAUAUGUAAAUCACACCUCAAUAAAGCUGACCAAAAAGUGGCCAGUCAGCCACCAGCAGACCCAUGGGAUAGGGGAAGAAAAACAAGCAAUCUACAGAACGUGGGAAAAUGCCUAUAUUAAGAAUCCUGGAAUACUCCAUGUGCUUUUUCAUGCAGCGGGAGUGGAAUUUUCAGGAAGCAGCUGUGCUGUGGGUGACGGUCAUACUUUAUUCUCUAAAACUCUCCAGUUUCAAUUGGCCUCUUGGUGCCAAAGCACCAUGGCGUGUUACACCUAUCAGAUCGGGCACACUGCCCCUUCUUCCCAACCUACGAGCUGAAAUGGCCAGCACUGCGCCUUCCAGAACCCAGCGUAGAUGCACAGCUGCCACGGAGGUAGGAAGAAUGAUUCGUUUGCCACCAAAAGCCCAGUUUCUCCAACAGGUAAGUCCCAGCAGGGUGCGAUGUCCCAAACCUACACAACCGUUUCCACUGCCUAUUCCCGGGCCCCUCACUUGGGUCAAGGCAGCAUUUCAGAGGAAGCCAGGAGCGAGAACUCGUGCAUCCGAACCCUUCUCUGACUUGGCGGGUUAUUGGAUUAGCUACUCUCAGAAGACCCAAAAGGCAUAGGGGAGAGAAGAGAUAAAUCUGGAUGCGGUGGAGACAACGGCCAAACAGAAAAACCGCUUGGAGAAUAAAAGUCGGGGGAAGCCUGUAGUGGGGACGCUAGACUCAAGGGAAGGCUCUGGAGGAAGGAAGAGGCUAAAGGCAUAGUUUCGUAACCCCUCCCUACAAACUACCCCCUUUCCCUCUGCCCAAGUGAGCACAGGGACCGCCCCGCAGCAAGACGACGGCAGAUAUUUAAAAUGUGAGGAACCCCGGCCACAGCGGGCGGGGCUCCCCACCCAUCACCUAGUGUCCUCACUCACUGCACUCCAGACUUUGUCAAAGUGGUGGCAGCUGAGUCCAGCACCAGAGAUUGGUGAUGCUCGGGUUGAUUUCAUUGUCAAGUGCAUCUGGCAGGACUCUAGUUUGUCGACAGUAUUCCAGACAAGGUGUAGCUGGCUGAACCGCAGUGCCUCGGCAUUUGGGACCAUUGAAAAAUACUCUGGAUUCUUUUUUUUUCUUUUGCAAUUGCACAAGGAUUUACUUAUCUCUCUUCAUGGGUGAAACUGAUUUGGGGGGAAACUGCUAGACUCAAUGACCAGUUGGACUGUAGGCAAGAAGGCCCAUGAUUUUGUUCCUCAGAUAAAAGAGCAGCAGGGAAACAGGAGGCCUCUCUCCUGCAAAGCUGGUCCAAAGUGCACACAAGGCAUGGCUGAGCGCCUGGUGAUGCACAGUCAGCAGACGGGCGAGACCCAGGAACGUGUACUGUAACAAGAGAGUCUAGUGCAGGUUGUUGGGGGGGCUUGAGGCUAUCCGCUGACAUCUUUUCUCCCCAGUCAGGAGACAGUAGGGGAGAUGGUUCUCAUAGAUCAAGUCGGGCUUUGAGAAGGAAGGUGAACAGGAGAAAAAAAAAAAUAGAGGCCUCAGAAAGCCCCUCCCUCCCAAGUCUCUCCUCACAGGCGAACCACGACAGAUGGCUGCGCGGCCUGAGGGCCGGCCUCCAGGCAGCCAGGGAGGAGCAGCUGCAAGUCCUGCAGUCUGUGAGACCCCCGAAGGGUCUGGGCCAGCAUCCAAGGCUAAAGCCUUGGCUAUCCUAACGCCGCAGUGGGGCACUUAAAGCUCCUCACGCCCAAGCCCAGGCCUGGUGGGAGCACGGUUCUCUCCCGCGCUCCCCCUCCUCCCCACUCCACGGCCACCCUUCCUUCCAAUCGUCCCCCUGGAGUUCGUGUUGGAAGAUGCCAGUGAGCACGUCUCAGGGCUCUACGCCUUGCACGGAUGAGUAUGGGGUGACUCAGAGGGAAGGGGUGGUGGCAGAUGCCUGCAGCUGGCUCCCAGCCAGGUUUGGCCAUCCUGCGUAAAUGCCUGCCUUGGGUCUUGGCCUAAUACUAAGGGCAAAUCCCAAGAGGGGUGAGUGGGCUUCUGGAAUCUGAGCAAUUCUGCUUUCAAAACAGGUGAAUCCCUAGGCCAGCCCGGCCCCUUCCCACACACCCCUACCCCGAGACGGGUGCAGAAUCAGCAGCGGGGAUCAUCCAGAGACUCUCGCAGUCCACGGCAGGUGUCGGAGUGGGCCUCAUUCCAGAGUUGUGGUGGCCGCUCCACCUGGCGAGCUUCGAGGGGACUCCGGCAGGCGCUCGCUGUGGGGUCCUCCCACCAGUCUUCUCAGCACAGGAACGGUGCCUUCACAUUGGUCUUCCGGGGCUUAAAAGCAUAUCAUUCCUGCUUGCUCUUCAGAUGCAAACUCCCCCUCCAAGGAUACCUCCAGGUUCCCUGCCAGCUCACUUGACUCACAUGGCAAUGGUCACCGGGCUGCCUGAGCCCAAAUCAAGCACCGUUUAUUAGGGGGAAGCUCCGUUAUCCAGAAAGCUCAUCUUUGAAGAGCUACCCAUUUCCUGCCAAAGUUGUGGCGGGAAGGCCUUAGGUACUAGAAAACCUUGGGGAAUGGCAAUUAAAGGAUUAUCAUUCUUACUUAUUUGUUUGGAUAAGCAGCAAUCACCCUUCGGAUGCUUAUUGGUGAGAAUAUUUCUAAAAGUGUCCUGCACAUUUCCCUGCUUUGAUGAAUGGAACGGCAGGGCAGGAUUUAACUGUCUGAUGGCUACGGUUUUGGGAAAGUGCCAGAACCUCCACGUCAGCCACCCCAGAGCCACAGGCAGGGUAUGAGCCACAGCAAUGGGCCCCAAGAAAGAGCCCCACACCCACCAUGGUCCACGGAAGACGCUGCUUACUGGCCCCGGGUUACCUGGAGUCAUGUGCAUUCUCCUUACAUCAAGUGAAGAUAAUAUUUUGUUUCCUUCCCACUUUUUCUCUAACACAAGCCACCCCAGUUCUCCCUUCUGACAACAGGCAAGUGGACCCUAGUAGACCUUCCAGAAAAGCCUUAGAGAGCACCCCCAAAUGCUCACAUUUGUCAGCUGUAAUUCCACCCUCAGUUAAAACCUGAUUCUCAAUGUGACUUGGCCAACGCAGCUUGCAAAGCAAGAACGUCUUCAUCUAAGGUUGAAAACAUCAGUUGUUUGGGUUGUGAGAAAAGAAAAGCCCACAAGGUUUCCGAGGCUUGGUGCUGUUUCUCACUGUCCUCAGCUCCUGAUUCUGCAGCUGGUUCUCUCUCCAAGCACUAGCAAAACCCUGCCCUAGGAGCCCCCAGACUCUGAGAGCCCAUGACCAAAAAGAAAAGGAAAGCCAAGUUGGGGAAGAACAGGGGCCCCCAACUCCACAGCCCUCCACUCUGCCCAGAGGGCCCACCCUGGGCUGCCUGGAACCCCCUAAAGUUGCCACCCCCGCAACACAGUAGUGGGGCAGUUCCUGGCAGCGCCUGCAGCCCAUGGGCUGGCUCUGUACCCGCAGCCCCGCCAAGCGUCUGUUAUCUUAUUUACUGGAAUCUGCACAGCCAGGCUCUAGCUCACCGGUGACUAAGGAGCUGCAGCCAUUAUUACCAGGCAGAUGGCAGACUCCCUAAAAGCAGACAUUAAACAAUAAAAUGCCACCACAUACCUUGCCCACAAAAUAAAAUCAAAACAAACACCUAAGUCUGGCUUUGCUUUUCUUCUGCUCUCUCCCUACCUCCCCUGGGUCAGAGCACAGGGGGAGAGGUGCACGGGGCACCGAGAAGGAAAUUUACGAUCGAGGAAGACCAUACGGACAUGCCCAGUGACCUUCAGAAGGUGGCAGUAGCAGAACCACCAUGGGACCCCAGGUGGCGGAGAGGGCAGACCCUGUCCAUGUGUGACAGGUGGGGCAGAACCACCAGCUAGGACAGGUGGGAUUGGAAGAACAAAGGAACGACAGGGACCCUGCAGAACCCACAGCCCUCUCGCCUCAGUCGCCUGAUGAAUAGUCAAAGUGCUAAGACCUGGAGAAUUCCAUCAAAAACUCAGUUGCUCCCA
This 4827-nucleotide long non-coding RNA is filed under the name Homo sapiens (human). Its description in RNAcentral is "non-protein coding lnc-GALNTL5-2:10". The record is from RNAcentral. Lineage: Eukaryota; Metazoa; Chordata; Mammalia; Primates; Hominidae.